Pleurotus ostreatus (oyster mushroom) is the source of this 2016-nucleotide non-coding RNA. NCBI's taxonomy places the organism in Eukaryota, Fungi, Basidiomycota, Agaricomycetes, Agaricales, Pleurotaceae. The record is from the annotation of a RefSeq genome assembly.
UAGGACGAAUUUAAUUUUGGUUCCGAUUGAACGUUUUCAGUAGUUUUAAGACAUGCAAAUCAUUGUUCUAAAAUUUCUCUCAAAAUUUAAUGUGCAUAACAUCAAAUUCUGACAAAAUUAGGAAAUAAGGUGUAAAGGUGAGUAAUGAUAAAUUAGAUACCUUAUAGACUCUCUAAAUGGGGGAUAAAUAUUACUCUAUUAUAAUUCUCCAUCUUAAGUUUUAACUAAAGAUGUGAUUUAAUAAUUGCUUUAUUAAUUUGAAAAAUAAUGAGGUUCUUUCUAGUUUAACACAAAAAUAAACUUUUAUAAUUACAAAAUUAUAUUAAAGAAAGUGAAAAUAUUGAUAAAAUAGCUAUUUUAUUAAAGAAAGGAAUUUUUCUGCUAUAAGAUUCGAUUUAUUUUGUUUAGGUAGUUGGUAGGGUAAAGGCCUACCAAGCCUACGAUCAAUAGCCAAGUUUGACAGAACAAAUGGCCACAUUGGGAAUGAAAAGCCCCAAGUAGUUUUAACUACCAGCAGUCGAGAAUAUUAGUCAAUGCUCGAAAGAGUGAACUAGCUAACUGAAAUCACAUGACUCAUUCUUAUAGGUGGUGAAUGUGAUAAGGUGUAGGGAAAAAAAUGAUAUUACCUCACUAAAAGUGUUGUCCAAAUCUGGUGCCAGAAGACUCGGUAAGACCAGAAACGCAAACGUUAGUCAUCUUAAUCAGGCGUAAAGGGUAUGUAGGCAGCUUUGAAAAUUUUAAUUUUAAAAAUUUUUUUUUUCUUUUCUAGAAAAAAGAGUAGCUCUAUUUUGUACAUAAAUUAAAUAGUAAAAAUAAAAUCAAUUAAAGCUAGAAUCUAAUAGAGGAAAAACCAAAUAAUACUUAGAGUAGGGAUGAUAUCCAUAGAUACUAAGGGGAAUACUAAGGGCGAAAGCUUUUUUUCUACUAAAGAUUGACGCUGAGAAACGAAGGUGAGAAUAGGAAAUAGGAUUAGAUACCCAGAUACCUCUCACUGUCAACGAUGAAUGGUGGUUGUUAGUUUUAAUAAAAACUGAUGGCGAUGUUAACACGAUAACCAUUCCGCCUUGCGAGUACGGUUGCAAAACUGAAACCAAAAAAAUUAGUCGGUCUCGAAGCAAACGAAGUGAAGCAUGUUAUUUAAUACGACAAUACGCGUAUAACCUUACCAGACCUUGCAUAUCUAGCUCUUUUUAUUUUUUUCAUUUAAUUUGAGUGAGUAUAUUUUAAACUUUUUUUUAAAAUAAUACGCAGAUACAGGUGUUGCAUGGCUGUCGUCAGUCCGUGUUGUGAAGAGUGAGGUUAACUCCACUAACGGACGCAAUCCCUGUUGUUAAUUUAUACUUAACAAUUUAUGAUUCUGAUAGAGUUUCAUUUGGGGCUAAGACAAGCCGUUAUGGCCCUAAUGGUCUGGGCUAUAGACGUGCCACAUAAACUUUUACAAAGUGAUGCAAAACUAUACCUAUUUAAAAUUAUUUACUUAAAAUUUAUUUUUAAGUACAUAAUUUAUUAUUUAUUUUUAAAUAAAAAAGGUAAUAAGGAAUAGCUAAUCAUUAAAAAAAGUUCAUUUUUAAAAUGAUUGAACGGAUUGUCGCCUGAAAUUCGGCGACAUGAAGAAGGAAUUUCGAGUAAUCGUUGAUCACGACGCAACGGUGAAGAUAGCAUUCGUGAUGAACUAACUGUCUGUCGCUGGGAAGAAGCUUAACUUGGGGGAAACUGCCACGAAAAUAAAACUUUAAUAUAAGUUUGCCUUUCUUUAAUUUUGUUAUUUUAGAAAUUUAAAUUAUUAAUUUAAUUUUUUCCUAGUCCCUUAUCCAAAAGAUGAGGAGCCAUAGGUAGGUAGUUUUUAUUUAUAUAUUUUUAUUUAAGUAUAAAAAAUAAUAAUUUUUGCAUUUAAAAAACACUUAUAUUAAGAUAUUUAGUAUCUGUUAACCCAUUUAAGUAACAUCUCAAAAGUCAUAGCAAGGUAGCUGUACUGGAAAGUGCUGCUGGAAAAUAAAAAAUAUUGAAUUUAACCCC